GUGACUGACACAGGCAGCACCCUUUUGCAGAAGUAGAUGUGCGUUGCUGAGAAAUUUUCUGCCUAAGUUCUGGUUUUCUUUGCAGCACCCAGCAUUUGUUUCUAACACAGGGAAAGAGUGAGCUGGAGAAACCUCUCAAAUUCAAGAAAGCGUAAAGCAAAUUGAACAAUACGGGUGAGGGUUGGGGAAAAGAAGCCCUCUGCACACCAGAAUUACCCAGAGACAUGGAACACUUAGCACUGCAUCAUAUGUUGGCCUUACAGAGGUCCUCCGUAUUCCAAUGUGAGGAAGGAAGUGGUGGUACAUUUGCAGAAGGCACUAAAUUAAGCGACUCUAAUGAACCAG
Molecule: long non-coding RNA, 345 nt
Filed under: Homo sapiens (human)
Lineage: Eukaryota; Metazoa; Chordata; Mammalia; Primates; Hominidae
Description: non-protein coding LINC01612:2
Source: RNAcentral